GAUGAACGCUGGCGGCGUGCCUAACACAUGCAAGUCGAGCGGCAGCGAGGGGUGCUUGCACCCUGUCGGCGAGCGGCGGUCGGCUGAGUAACGCGUGGGAACGUGCCCCAAAGUGAGGAAUAACUGCCCGAAAGGGUAGCUAAUACCGCAUAUUAUCUUCGGAUCAAAGGAUUUAUCCGCUUUGGGAGCGGCUCGCGUCGGAUUAGGUAGUUGGUGAGGUAAUGGCUCACCAAGCCGACGAUCCGUAGCUGGUCUGAGGGGAUGACCAGCCAGACUGGAACUGAGACACGGUCCAGACUCCUACGGGAGGCAGCAGUGAGGAAUCUUCCACAAUGGGCGAAAGCCUGAUGGAGCAACGCCGCGUGCAGGACGAAGGCCUUCGGGUUGUAAACUGCUUUUAUAAGUGAGGAAUAUGACGGUAACUUAUGAAUAAGGAUCGGCUAACUACGUG
This 451-nucleotide ribosomal RNA is filed under the name uncultured bacterium. Its description in RNAcentral is "partial 16S ribosomal RNA". It matches the Rfam family "Bacterial small subunit ribosomal RNA", at positions 28 to 507 of the family's 1533-position model. The record is from RNAcentral.